This 379-nucleotide ribosomal RNA is filed under the name uncultured eukaryote. RNAcentral's name for it is "partial 18S ribosomal RNA". It matches the Rfam family "Eukaryotic small subunit ribosomal RNA", at positions 592 to 976 of the family's 1831-position model. The record is from RNAcentral.
CAAUAGCGUAUAUUAAAGUUGUUGCGGUAAAAAAGCUCGUAGUUGGAUUUCUGUUGAGAGCGACCGGUCCAUACCAUGUAUGCGUAUCUGGCUUGCUCUCGGCAUCCUCUCGAUAGACGUUACUGCGCUUGAUUGCGUGGUGCGGCUCUCGGGACUUUUACUUUGAGGAAAUUAGAGUGUUCACGGCAGGCUUUCGCCAGAAUACAUUAGCAUGGAAUAAUACUAUAGGAUCUUGGUUCUAUUUUGUUGGUUUCUAGAAUUGAGAUAAUGAUUAAUAGGGACAAUUGGGGGCAUUCGUAUCAACACGUCAGAGGUGGAAUUCUUGGAUUGUGUUGCGACGAACUACUGCGAAAGCAUUUGCCAAGGAUGUUUUCAUUGA